CCAGUAGCCAUGCAGGCAAAUCCGUGUGGCAAUACGAAGACGUGACGCGGACCGAAAUAAAGUAGGGAAGCAUGUGAGCCAUGUGCCAAGAAAAGCCGCUAUAGAUCAUACCGUACCCGUACCGUAAACCGACACAGGUAGAUGAGGAGAGAAUCCUAAGGCCGACGGGAGAAGCAUUGUUAAGGAACUCGGCAAAAUGACCCCGUAACUUCGGGAGAAGGGGUGCCCACGCGAGUGGGCCGCAGAGAAUGGGCUCAAGCAACUGUUUAGCAAAAACACAUGUCUAUGCGAAACCGAAAGGUGAGGUAUAUGGGCUGACGCCUGCCCGGUGCUGGAAGGUUAACAGGAGGAGUCAGGCAACGAAGCUCCGAAUUUAAGCCCCAGUAAACGGCGGCCGUAACGAUAACGGUCCUAAGGUAGCGAAAUUCCUUGUCGGGUAAGUUCCGACCCGCACGAAAGGCGUAAUGAUUUGAGCACUGUCUCGACAAUGCACCCGGUGAAAUUGAAGUACCAGUGAAGAUGCUGGUUACCUGCGCCAGGACGGAAAGACCCCAUGGAGCUUUACUCCAGUUUGAUACUGGGAUUCGAUACUGAAUGUACAGGAUAGGUGGGAGGCUGAGAAGCGUGGACGCCAGUCUGCGGUGAGCCGCUGUUGGGAUACCACCCUUUGAGUAUUGGAUUUCUAACCUGCGCCCGUGACCCGGGCGGGGGACAAUGUCUGACGGGGAGUUUGACUGGGGCGGUCGCCUCCGAAAGGGUAUCGGAGGCGCUCAAAGGUUCCCUCAGAAUGGUUGGAAACCAUUCGCAGAGUGCAAAGGCAGAAGGGAGCUUGACUGUGACACCGACGGGUGGAGCAGGUACGAAAGUAGGACUUAGUGAUCCGGUGGUAUGAAAGUGGGAUUGCCAUCGCUCAACGGAUAAAAGCUACCCUGGAUAACAGGCUUAUCACUCCCAAGAGUUCACAUCGACGGAGUGGUUUGGCACCUCGAUGUCGGCUCAUCGCAUCCUGGGGCUGUAGCAGGUCCCAAGGGUUGGGCUGUUCGCCCAUUAAAGCGGUACGCGAGCUGGGUUCAGAACGUCGUGAGACAGUUCGGUCCCUAUCCGGCGCAGGCGUAGGAUAUUUGAGAGGAGCUGUCCUUAGUACGAGAGGACCGGGAUGGACAGACCGCUGGUGUAUCUGUUGGUGACCAACACCAUGGCAGAGUAGCCAAGUCUGGCAGGGAUAAACGCUGAAGGCAUCUAAGCGUGAAGCCCCCCUCAAGAUGAGAUAUCCCAAUAAGUAAGACCCCUUAGAGAGUAUGAGGUAGAUAGGCUUAAGGUGUAAGCAUAGUAAUAUGUUCAGCUGAUAAGUACUAAUAGGUCGAGGGCUUAUCUAA
RNAcentral lists this ribosomal RNA (1376 nucleotides) under metagenome. RNAcentral's name for it is "bacterial LSU rRNA". It matches the Rfam family "Bacterial large subunit ribosomal RNA", at positions 1521 to 2925 of the family's 2925-position model. The record is from RNAcentral.